This 253-nucleotide ribosomal RNA is filed under the name uncultured bacterium. Its description in RNAcentral is "partial 16S ribosomal RNA". It matches the Rfam family "Bacterial small subunit ribosomal RNA", at positions 524 to 776 of the family's 1533-position model. The record is from RNAcentral.
UACGGAGGAGGUAAGCGUUAUCCGGAAUUAUUGGGCGUAAAGCGUCCGCAGGUGGCUAUUCAAGUCUGCGGUCAAAGACUGGGGCUUAACCCUGGAAAGGCCGUGGAAACUGAAGAGCUAGAGUGCAGUAGGGGUAGAGGGAAUUCCCGGUGUAGCGGUGAAAUGCGUAGAGCUCGGGAAGAACAUCGGUGGCGAAAGCGCUCUGCUGGACUGCAACUGACACUCAGGGACGAAAGCUAGGGGAGCGAAUGGG